AAGAUGGCUGAAGAGGAACAGCCCCAGUCUGCAGCGCCCAGGGAGACCAACGCAGAAGGCAGAAAGUUUCAGAAAGGUGAUGAAAUUUAAGCUGGGCUUUAAAGGCUACAUCAAAUUUGACAAAUGGAAUUGUGAGGAAAGCACAUUAGAAGUAAAGAGUGAACCCACAAAAACAAGAGAACAUCAUGUUUCUAGAGGCUGCCUGCAUUCCUUGGCUAAUGACUUUGCAUCACUCUGACGUCUUGCUCCCAUGGUCGUAUCACCUACUACUGGCCCUGAUCUCACUACUUGUUAUAUGGAACAAAGGGAUAAGGAAGUGACUUGCCUAAGUCACUGAGGAACCUAAUAUUGAGAUUAGCACUCAAUGAUUCCUGGCUCUCAGAAUGUGUGCUGCUACCACCAGGCCACACUCUUCCCUCCAGAGAGAAGAUGUGUCAGCACGGAAUUGUGCUGAAGCAAAGAUGUGAAAUAGAAUGAUUACAUAUCUACCUAGUGGGAAGAUCUGGGGAAGAAUCUAUCAGUGCUGGCAGAGAAGCAAACCAUACGACAUCACUCAUCCCCAGAAAGUGAAGUUAAGGGAAAUAAAAAACAAUCUACACCAUUUAGAAAACACAGCCACCCCAUACCCUUGGAAAAAAUACACUAAAAUAUCUUCAUCUGAUUUGACCUCUAAUAACAUGAAUAA
Molecule: long non-coding RNA, 685 nt
Filed under: Homo sapiens (human)
Lineage: Eukaryota; Metazoa; Chordata; Mammalia; Primates; Hominidae
Description: long intergenic non-protein coding RNA 2326
Source: RNAcentral